RNAcentral lists this long non-coding RNA (234 nucleotides) under Elaeis guineensis (African oil palm). RNAcentral's name for it is "long non-coding RNA (EGUI_LNC032412)". Lineage: Eukaryota; Viridiplantae; Streptophyta; Magnoliopsida; Arecales; Arecaceae. The record is from RNAcentral.
CCACUAUUUUUUGCGAAUUGGUAGCAUAUACCUCCAACUCGAGGAAUUAUAUUAAUUUCUUAGCGGGUACUAGAAUCCACACGGACUGCAUUUAGGCCCAAGUGUGGCUCGGCCAAUCCUAGUGCAUCAAUGGGUAGGUUCAUAACCAAUUGUUUCUCCAAACAACUUCUAGCAUUAGGUUUUGCCCCAGACAUCCCUUCAGCAGGCGUGUGGCGUCUCGACUGAAAAUCUUGG